AAUCCUGGCUCAGGAUGAACGCUGGCGGCGUGCCUAACACAUGCAAGUCGAACGGACUUACAUUGAAGCCUAGCGAUAUGUAAGUUAGUGGCGGACGGGUGAGUAACGCGUGGGUAACCUGCCUUGUACUGGGGGACAACAGUUGGAAACGACUGCUAAUACCGCAUAAGCGCACAGCUUCGCAUGAAGCGGUGUGAAAAACUCCGGUGGUACAAGAUGGACCCGCGUCUGAUUAGCUGGUUGGUG
RNAcentral lists this ribosomal RNA (246 nucleotides) under uncultured bacterium. RNAcentral describes it as "partial 16S ribosomal RNA". It matches the Rfam family "Bacterial small subunit ribosomal RNA", at positions 15 to 254 of the family's 1533-position model. The record is from RNAcentral.